This 282-nucleotide long non-coding RNA is filed under the name Mytilus galloprovincialis (Mediterranean mussel). The record is from RNAcentral. Lineage: Eukaryota; Metazoa; Mollusca; Bivalvia; Mytilida; Mytilidae.
UUAUCAUAUACUUAGAAUAAAUAACAUAUGAUUUUUACCGUAUGAUAAUAGCAUUAAAUUAAAGUAUAUUCCAUAUUUUUCGAAUUGGUGCUUAGCGGGCUGAAAUGAAAUGUUUAUCACAUGCUUCGAUUGUUAUCACAUGCCUUUCCGUAACGUUAUCACAUGGCAUUCCGGUGAUACUCGGCAAAUUCCGGAAAAUACACAUCAAUGCUACGAUUUCAGUGAAAAACUUUACAAAGUAGUGUGCAAAACAAUUAUUUGAAUACUGGAAAGUAAAUUGUG